UGCGUAGGCGUCCAGGAAAGUUAUUUGUUAAAGCCUCCGGCUUAACCGGAGAGAUGCAAGUAAAACUAUCUGGAUAGAGUUUAAGAGAGGAAAAUGGAAUUCCUGGUGUAGCGGUGACAUGCGUAGAUAUCAGGAGGAACAUCAAUGGCGAAGGCAGUUUUCUGGCUUAAAACUGACGCUGAGGCACGAAAGCGUGGGGAGCAAACAGGAUUAGAUACCCUGGUAGUCC
This 229-nucleotide ribosomal RNA is filed under the name uncultured bacterium. RNAcentral describes it as "partial 16S ribosomal RNA". It matches the Rfam family "Bacterial small subunit ribosomal RNA", at positions 568 to 796 of the family's 1533-position model. The record is from RNAcentral.